UACAAGCUCCUUCAUUCAUGAAGCAACAGUAUUUGUUAAUUAUUAUUUGCCAUAAUACAAGUGAGUAAAAUCAGAGAUGUAAAGGUUUCUAUUUUUUCAUGUACAUUAACUACCAUUUUAUAUUUCACCCCUUCCUCCCUGAGGUACACAAUAGAAAGCAAAGACCUUUCUGACCACCCCAGACUUGGAUCUCUCUUCUCAGAAAAUAAACUGUGAUUCAGCAGCAGCGUGGGUUACGGUGAAGUGUGCAACUGCUUUACUCCCCUUCCUGCCUCCCAGCUCUUUGCCCUCACCGUGCUCUGUCUGCAUCACUGGAGGGCUGUCUCUGAACACUCCCAUCAUGCGUUCACUGGAGUGGGACAACAAAAGGUGAGUACUGAAGGGCCACUGCAGGAAACAGUCUUUCCAAAGCAUUGAAAUUUCUGCCCCCUCCCUGCUCAUGGAGAACUCUGCUGACUCCUGUCACAACCCCAACUGGUGGACCUUCCCCAAAGCAGUAAUGAAUGACACUGAAUCAUACUUCUGGCAUGCUGCUAGGAUAAGGUGGUCAAGUUAGUGACUUUGUAACAGGAUCCUUCUGAGGCAACUGUACCCUUAACUGGCACACCACCAAAUCCCUAUCUUCUUCCCAAAAUGAUGCUUCUACGUGACAUGAUUUGGAGAAGGAAGAUGAACUCAGGUAUUCCACUUUC
Molecule: long non-coding RNA, 692 nt
Organism: Pezoporus occidentalis (night parrot)
Lineage: Eukaryota; Metazoa; Chordata; Aves; Psittaciformes; Psittacidae
Exons: 4
Source: RefSeq, a predicted model, not a curated record